UGGGGAAUAUUGCACAAUGGGCGCAAGCCUGAUGCAGCAACGCCGCGUGAACGAUGAAGGUCUUCGGAUCGUAAAGUUCUGUUGCAGGGGAAGAUAAUGACGGUACCCUGUGAGGAAGCCCCGGCUAACUACGUGCCAGCAGCCGCGGUAAUACGUAGGGGGCUAGCGUUAUCCGGAUUUACUGGGCGUAAAGGGUGCGUAGGUGGUCCUUCAAGUCGGUGGUUAAAGGCUACGGCUCAACCGUAGUAAGCCGCCGAAACUGGAGGACUUGAGUGCAGGAGAGGAAAGUGGAAUUCCCAGUGUAGCGGUGAAAUGCGUAGAUAUUGGGAGGAACACCAGUAGCGAAGGCGGCUUUCUGGACUGCAACUGACACUGAGGCACGAAAGCGUGGGUAGCAAACAGG
Molecule: ribosomal RNA, 403 nt
Filed under: Verrucomicrobiota bacterium
Lineage: Bacteria; Pseudomonadati; Verrucomicrobiota
Also listed under: 1 other name
Description: Verrucomicrobia bacterium partial 16S ribosomal RNA
Rfam family: Bacterial small subunit ribosomal RNA
Source: RNAcentral